AUCUUGAACCAAGUCUCCGCGCAUUGUUUGUGAGCAACAGCUAAAUCCUCUUUACAAGAACAGCCCAACACAAUCGCAAAACCUGAUUCAGAAGCCGCAGUUUCCAAACCGAGAUGACAAAUACGGCAAUCUCUUUCAAUUUUCUCCAAAUUCGAUUCAAUUUCUGAGAGUCCGUCUUCCAAUUCAAGAUCUUCAAAAAUUUUUUGUGCCUCCCAAACCAAACCACAACUGAC
RNAcentral lists this long non-coding RNA (233 nucleotides) under Ananas comosus (pineapple). RNAcentral describes it as "long non-coding RNA (ACOM_LNC002308)". Lineage: Eukaryota; Viridiplantae; Streptophyta; Magnoliopsida; Poales; Bromeliaceae. The record is from RNAcentral.